GAAAGAAAGGAUGAUGGAUCAAGCAAGAACGCUGAAAACUGGGAUGGCUUUCCAAACAAUUGGCAAUUGUUGAUGGCAAAAUUUGGAAGAGAAGGGAGCAGGGUGAAAAACAAAAAACCGCUUGUUCUGACUUAUCAAAAUAUGUUUAAAAUUUAGACAUACGUUUUCUUUUAGUCGGACUUCAAAAUAGGUGUCUCUUUGUAAAACUUGGAGUAUAGUUAAUUU
Caenorhabditis elegans is the source of this 225-nucleotide non-coding RNA. The record is from Ensembl. Lineage: Eukaryota; Metazoa; Nematoda; Chromadorea; Rhabditida; Rhabditidae.